AUAGCCGAAAUAUUCAAUCCCGGAUUUGACCUUUACCUGAAUUCAUAUUAGUUUAGGUUUAUUUUUUCGUAGUAUAUAUAUACUUGAAUUAACUAUUUGUACCCUUAUUCGCUAUUGUUUUUAUUUUGAAUAUUUCGAAGUUCAAGCCUGAAGACCUGGACUCACAUUACGUUAAAUUCAUCGCCUUUGGAUAAGAGAUUCUUUCCAACAGGUGUCGAAUCCAUCACUUCUACUCGAGAGAUUUACCAUUAGGUUAACCCCACGUUGGUCUUAUCCGCUAUUAUCUACUCCUAAUUCUUGAUAUUGACAUCAAAGACUCAAAAAUUAUAGUGUAUGUUAUUAUUUAGAUCAUUCGGA
Molecule: small RNA, 357 nt
Filed under: Arabidopsis thaliana (thale cress)
Lineage: Eukaryota; Viridiplantae; Streptophyta; Magnoliopsida; Brassicales; Brassicaceae
Description: ATSL214390
Source: RNAcentral